RNAcentral lists this long non-coding RNA (1983 nucleotides) under Olea europaea (common olive). RNAcentral's name for it is "long non-coding RNA (OEUR_LNC012278)". The record is from RNAcentral. Lineage: Eukaryota; Viridiplantae; Streptophyta; Magnoliopsida; Lamiales; Oleaceae.
UUGGACCCGUUUCAGAGCAUUGUAAAGGAAAGAAUGAUCAAUUAGCAAUUGAAUUGAAAGUUUAUGUAUUAAAUUCCACAUUUUGAAAUUUGAAGGACUCGAAUUGAAAUAAAGAAGACAUGGAUUGCACAAAUAUAUAGACUCAAGGGACUAAAUUGCAUUAAUUAUAAAGAGUGAGCCCUUGAAAACAAGCAUCACAUUAUAUGAGCCUUUGAACAUGGUAAUUGGAAGAGAAUCAAAUUCUACUUAAACUAGAAUUCAAGAAAGCUGGUGGUAGGAAAGCCCGGUUGAAAUUGGAACCCUUUAUAUCAAGCUGGACCAAAAAAUCAAUGGGAAAAAUGAUGAAAGUCCAAAUGUUAACUAUCGUAGAGUCCAAUAAGGGAAAGAAAUAUACUGGUAUGUUUUACGUGACCUUGGAGUAUUCAUAAAUCUUUAAUGCAUUUUUAUAUAUUUAAAUCCGUCAUAAAAUAUAGUCGGGAUACCAUGUAAGAAUAUGUUUAAUUUUACUCGAAAGAGAUUGUUAAACAAAUUAGGAAUAUUAAUUUUCAUAAUUGAAUUGUGUUGUCAAAUUUAUAAGUUUUGUGGUUAGAGGGGAUUGAUAUUAAGGGACUCGAGAUCCUAUUAUGCUUUUCAUCAUUAAACUUUUAUAAAAUCUGCACUUAAUUAUAACUUUGCGUUGAAUUAAGUUAAGUUAAGGUCUUGAAUUCAUUAGUAGAUUAUUUAAUUGAUUGGAAAAAUUACAACUUUCAAUUGUUUCGGUUAAGGCUGAGUUAAUUUGAACUUAAGCAAGUACAAUCUCCGUGAGUACGAUACUUGGACUCAAAAUUCAUUUUACUACCUGUUAAUGAACUGUACAUUUACAGUAAUUUAAAUUGAAAAGAUAAUUUUCAUGACAAGUUUUUUUGGCACUGCUGUCGGGGAUGAUAACUAUAGUUUGAGUUUAAUUUAUUUUAGCACUAAUUUGAACUUCUAACUAUAUUCUUGUUUUUUUUUCCUAUUUUAUUUUGGUUUUUUCUUUCCUUUUCAGGAUAUAUAAAUGAACAAAAAUAGUAGGAUAAAAAAUAACCAUGGCUAUUUUCAAAAAAUGCUCAUAUGUGACUUUAACAUAAGGCAACAACAAUUAGUAGCGUAAGAAAUUGAUGAAGGGAAUAUGGUUGUGUGAGAUUUCAUUAUAGGACAAUGACUACAAGAUAUAAAAUAGAAUGUGAACUUGAUGAAACUCUCUUGGGUGACUUGUUACAUUAUUUCUCUUACCACAAUUCGACAUAGGUGAUUUGCCUAUGGAAUUAGUUCUUCCACCAGUUAUUAAUGGACAUCAGUAAAGAGAAUUAGUUAACCAAACUUCCUACAAAUACAAAAAAGGGGAAAGACUUUCCAUAAUGAUGUCAUUGUUUCUUUACCAAACGUUUUGGAUACGAACAUUGAAUUUGAAAAAAUGCUUAAAGAAGAGAAGCAUGAAAUUAUCUAGAAAUUAAUCAUAACAGAUCAAAAAGAAUUAGUAGCAUUCAAAGAUGAGAAAAUUAGCAUGCAAUCCUUUGACUUCAUCGUUUUCUCAAAAAUUGAGUUUGUGAUUAAAUCUUAUAAAGAAAUUGAGGUGUACAUUGUUGAGUUUGAAACGAGUGAUGGUGGUAAGUCAUGCUACUUGGAAAAGGACAAUGUUAAAAUUUAGUGGAAAGUUGCAAUAUGGAACAAAUUCAUAUUGAACAAGCUAAGCAAGAUGCAAAGAAUCAUGACACAUUUGUACCAAAAGUCAAGCUCUAGACUUUAAAUCGAGCGCUUAAUAGUAGGCAAUCCAAUUUUCUAUCACUUUUCACUUAUUUUGAUUAGCUGUUGCAUUACACGUAUUUUUAGGGAUUGCAUUAGCAAUUUAGAGCUAUAGAUAGGAAUUCAUGCAUUUAAUGAUUUUUAACACAUUUUAGGUAGUAUUUUAAGACUUACAUUAGUAACUUAGGCAUGUUUAUUUAUUAAGUUCAUUUAAUUUAG